GUAGUUUGCCGGAGCUUUCUUAGUGGGGUACCGUCACUUACUUCCGUCCCCCAUCACAGAAGUUUACAACCCGAAGGCCUUCUUCCUUCACGCGGCAUUGCUGGGUCACGGGUUUCCCCCAUUGCCCAAUACUUCCCCCCUGCUGCCUCCCGUAGGAGUCUGGACCGUUUCUCAGUUCCAGUGUGGCCGUUCAGCCUCUCAGCUCGGCUACCCAUCGUCGACUUGGUGGGCCGUUACCCCGCCAACUAUCUAAUGGGACGCGAACCCGUCUUACACCGGAUCUCUCCUUUGACCCCCAGACCAUGUGGCCCUGUGGUCUUAUGCGGUAUUAGCAGCCGUUUCCAGCUGUUGUCCCCCUGUGUAAGGUUGGUUGUUCACGCGUUACUCACCCGUCCGCCGCUAAGUUCCCCCCGAAGGGUUCCCUCCGCUCGACUUGCAUGGGUUAGGCAUGCCGCCAGCGUUCGUCCUAAGCCAGAAUCAAACUCUGA
RNAcentral lists this ribosomal RNA (488 nucleotides) under uncultured bacterium. RNAcentral describes it as "partial 16S ribosomal RNA". The record is from RNAcentral.